Molecule: long non-coding RNA, 247 nt
Filed under: Elaeis guineensis (African oil palm)
Lineage: Eukaryota; Viridiplantae; Streptophyta; Magnoliopsida; Arecales; Arecaceae
Description: long non-coding RNA (EGUI_LNC068154)
Source: RNAcentral
AUAUGGAAGCUCGUCUGAAGAUUGUCCAUCGGAGAGGUGCGGUUUCAUGAGGAAUCCGACAGAGGGUCAUCCGACAGUGGAGUUCGGAUGGCACUGUGAAGGUUCGUCCGCUGGAGGAGUCUUGAGGACACUGAGGAAGGUCGAACAUUGGAGGAGUCUGGGAUUUAAUUCUGUUAUAGAAGUUCGGACGGAGUCCGGCUCUUGUAGGAGUCUGAAAGGAGGCCGCUUAUUGUAGAAGCUCGGAUGA